Long non-coding RNA from Oxyura jamaicensis (ruddy duck), 1588 nucleotides. RefSeq lists it as uncharacterized. The transcript is spliced from 2 exons. The record is from RefSeq and is a predicted model, not a curated record. Lineage: Eukaryota; Metazoa; Chordata; Aves; Anseriformes; Anatidae.
CUCAUCUGCAGAAGAACCAGUCAUUUAAGGAAUUGUAAUUUAAUGAAGCUUUUGGAGUUGACAUGCAUAUGAAUUUAUAUAACUAAGAUUGAAUUUUAUACAGGAUUGCUGAAUAUAGGAUACAUCUUUCAUCUUUAAAAUCUUACAUGACUAAUUAGAUAGCCUACUUCUAGCACUUUGUCUUUGCUUUUAAGAGACAACCAUGGAAUUCAUUGUUCUUUUCACUGUUUGUUAUACAAUGGAGGAGGCAUACCCACCCUAGAUUAGACAGUAAACAGGGUCACAGGCAAUCCGUUUGAUGCAGAAAACUCAGGUUUCAAACAUUCAUAGCUAAAUGGCUAUCCAAUGUGAAGGCUUGUAUCUUCACCUUCCUUUCUAAGGGAGCCACAGGCAGCAAUGGUAUGGGAUAAAGCAAGUGAAGAAAACUGCUGUCUGCUCGGAGAACCAUUCUCUCCUUUUUUUUUUUUCCUUUAUACAUUUUUUUUUUUCUUAGCAAUGGUGUGCAACUCACCCGUACCUCGCCUAGUAUGCUCCUUCAGUUACCAUCAGAGUGAAAUGGGAAUUUCAUGAAAAAGAUUGCAACAUAGUACCUUGAAAAUCUGUUCUACUUUCUUCCAGUCUUCAGUGUUUGCCUGGCAUCUCGUUCUGCAAACAGUCUGCUCCCCAACAGAGGGCAGCUCUCCUCAACAACCAUCCGACCCUUCCACUUCCCCUAGAUGUGGAAGUUCUUCCACUCCCUCUCACUUUGGGAAGUUGAGAUCCAGAUCUGAUCUCCUGAGUUAACAGCAAGUUGUUUUGCAAUUAAUUUUACGACUAUUCCCCACAUACAAUAAAAAGGCACGCUUCAAAUAUAUGUAUGUUCUUUCCUCACAGACUUAGCAUCGCUUUCUCCCACAGGCAGUACACUUAUUGAUAAGAUUGGUACACCACAGAGACCCUAGCUCCCUGGUUGAGACCACAGAGAAAACAUGGAAAGGUACACAGUCACAAAGGAAAAAGGCAGGCUGGGCAGGCAGACCAGGUGGGGGCUCCUGAGGAAUCACCCGUCAUCGCGUUCAGUCACUACUGUGGACAAAGCUGGUGGAGAACAGAGCUCAGCAGUGGCAUCUGCUCCCCGGAGCCCCAGCGCCUGGCUCUUCCUGCCUGACUGGCCACCAGCAAUUCCUCACCUUGCUUAUGAGGGGUGGAGAUCACAACUCUCCUUAAUGAGCCUCAUAGCUCAUUAAGUGCUGGCUCUCAUCUCUGCGUGCUAGCCAAUACAUAACUGCUGUAUGCAUUUGAAGUUGUACACAUCCUUUGUGCAGAGGCUCCUUAUGCCCUGCCAAGGAGGCCUAAAAACCCUGACCCCCAAAAGGAAGCAUUAAUAUACUUGAAUAUAGCUUGUAAUAAAAACGUUAUAUGAACACUUCAUAUUUGUAUAUUUUAAAUAUAUUAUCUCAAAUAAUCCACAUUUGUAUGUAAUGUACAUUCUUAGAUUGUCUCCCCCCUUUCAGAUACAAGCAUAAGACAGUAUAUGUACUUCCCCCAGUACAUAAAUUUCCUAGUCUAGCUUCAGAUUUGCAACUAGACUUGCUUCUAUGAAUGCAUU